CCUACGGGUGGCAGCAGUGAGGAAUAUUGGUCAAUGGGCGCUAGCCUGAACCAGCCAAGUAGCGUGAAGGAUGCCUGCCCUAUGGGUUGUAAACUUCUUUUAUAUGGGAAUAAAGUGCAGUAUGUAUACUGCUUUGCAUGUACCUUAUGAAUAAGGAUCGGCUAACUCAGUGCCAGCAGCGCCGGUACUACGGAGGAUUCGAGCGUUAUCCGGCUUUGUUGGGCUUAACGUGAGCGUAGGCGGGUUGUUAAGUCAGUUGGGAAAGGUUUCGGCGCAACUGUAAAAUUGCAGUUGAUACUGGCAUCCUUGAGUAUAGUAGAGGUAGGCGGAAUUCGUGGUGUAGCGGUGAAAUGCUUAGAUAUCAGGAAGAACUCCGAUGGCGAAGGCAGCCUGCUGGACUGUAACUGACGCUGAUGCUCGAAAGUGUGGGUAUCAAACAGGAUUAGAUACCCCUGUAGUC
This 460-nucleotide ribosomal RNA is filed under the name uncultured bacterium. Its description in RNAcentral is "partial 16S ribosomal RNA". It matches the Rfam family "Bacterial small subunit ribosomal RNA", at positions 338 to 795 of the family's 1533-position model. The record is from RNAcentral.